Non-coding RNA from Oryctolagus cuniculus (rabbit), 7321 nucleotides. The record is from RefSeq and is a predicted model, not a curated record. NCBI's taxonomy places the organism in Eukaryota, Metazoa, Chordata, Mammalia, Lagomorpha, Leporidae.
CAUAUACAUAUAUGUAUAUACUACAUAUAUAUGUUAUAGAUGAAUACAUAUUACCAAUAGAUACAGAUUUAUUUGUUCAUUUGAAAGGCACAGUUAAGAGAGGAAGAGGCAGAGGCACAGGCAGAGAGAGGGAGAGUCUUCCACCCACUAGUUUACUCCCCAAAUGUCCGCAAUGGCCGGAUCAAGGCCAAUUCAAAGCCAGGAGUCAGGAGCUUCUUUUGGGUCUCCCACGCAGAUGCAGGGGCCCAAGCACUUGGGCCACCUUCUUUUGAUUUCCCAGGCCAUAGCAGAGAGAUAGACUGGAAGUGGAGCAGCCGGGACUCGAACCGGCACCCAUAUGGGAUGCCAGUACUGUAGGCGAUGGCUUUUACCUACUAUGCCACAGCUCCGGCCCCUGUAUAUUUUUCUAAAACAUGAAAAUUAACUGCCUUCUGAAAGCAUUCAGUUUUUUUGGUCUAGAAGUAGUUAAUGUAAUGGUCCUUAAGGAUUUUUCUGGAAGCUCCACUUUUCCCUUCUUGUUAAACAUAUGUGAAGCUGCAGAUUGCCCAGCCUUUGAGAACAGGUGGUAAAUCAGUGAUGACCGAGGCAGUACACAAUGCUUAACUGUGCAGAGUCAACCCCUCCAUCAUGUAUUUGGGACUAUUCAUUAGAUGGAAAAUAUGUUUUAUUUAUGGAUGAACCCAUUCAAUGUAAUUCAAGAUUAUUGAUUGAAAGGUAGACAGGAGAUCACUUGCUGAGAGAGUUUUGUAUCAUUUAAUUGUCUAACAGUCCUUUCAGGGAACAGAUUUUUUUCCUAUAGCACAGAUUCAUAAAAUGAAGAUUACUUGCCAAAGAUCAGGCAUUUUGGUAGGAGCAAGAGCAAGACUAUCAUCCAGGCUUAUGGGAUGUGCCUCCCCCGGAUUACUGUGCUGAAACCUCUAAGAGGAAGCCCUCAGGAGGUGUUCCAAGAAUAAAGCAAACUACUGUUCUGCUCUCCUUUGAGGCGUCGCUCAUGCCACACGGUUCAGAUCCAGUUGCCGAGGGAGAGGACGGCAUCACACAGUUCAAUUGGUCGUUCUGCAACUUCAGAAUCAGAAAACAAAGUAGAAUCCCAUUAUGGAUUUGGAAGCAGAGUGUUUCCUCCAAGCAGCUGGUUGCUUUCUAAGGAAUCUAGUCAAGAGUCUCCAUGAAUUCACUGUAAGUAAAGAUGAUAUUUGCUGGUUUUGGCCAGAAUGAUGACUGCAGUGGCAAUGUGGACAUGCAUUUAGAUGGAGCUCCUUCUAGGUCUUUCUAAAGGUCUGGAUACAGACCACCUCAAGAAGAAGGCAGCAGAAUUGGUCUCCUGCUGUCUCCCAUUGGGAGGUUGUCCUCUUGAAAGGGGGAAAUUUCGACACAUGCCAACUCAUGUGUCCAGCGGGAACCUUGGGUACAUGAGCCUUUUCCUUCUACUUUGAAAAUAUAGUUGCUCUUUAAAGUCUCUCUUCCACAUAACAAAAAAGCAAGACAGAUAAAGGUUCAUGGGGAAAACUGAAUUCUGUCUGUUUCACAUCUUCUGUCCAGAAUCCCCUGGGAGAGGGUUUGAGAUUCCCCUUGCUCUACCAGGGGGACACACUCCUGGCUGUGUGGUAGUGGGAGAAGAGGCACUUCCUCUGUACUGUGAGAGAGGACAGUACAUGACUCCAGGGAGCGAUUUUUGCUGUCUGGUCUGAACUAGCAUGUAGUGCCUCCACAGAACCUAGGGAAGCGUGCACUUAGCCUCAGUAUUUCUUAUCUUCCCAGUCUUUUCUGUUGAUUGGGUGACUUGGAUUUUUUUUUUAAGAUUUAUUUAUUCAUUUGAAAGUCAGAGUUACAGAGGAGGAGGGAGAGACAGAUCUUCCAUUUGCUGGUUCACUCCCUGGAUGGCCACAACGGCUAGGGUUGGGCCAGACCAAAGCCAGAAGCCAGAAUCAUCUUUUGGGCCUCCCACAUGGGUGCAGGGGCCCACACACAUGGGUCGUCUUCCACUGCUUUUCUCAGGCCAUAGCAUAGAGCAGGAUCAGAAGUGGAGCAGCCGGGACAUGAAUGUGCGCCCAUGUGGGAUGCCAGCACUGCUACGCCAUGACACCCAUCCCUAAAUUUUGUUGUUUUAAUAGUUUUGUUUUGUUUUAUUUAUUGUGGUGGGGGGGAGAGAUAGAGAGAAUGAGAAUGAAUCAUUUCCAGAUACUGAUUCAUUCCCCCAAAUAUUUACAAAUGCUGGAGUUGGGCCAGACUGAAGCCAGCAGCCAGGAGCCAGAAGCCCCAUCUGUGUCUCCCAUGUGGGUGGCAAGGAUCCAAGCACUUGAGCCAUCACCUGCUGUCCCCAAGGAUGCACAUUAGCAGAAAGCUGGAGUUGGAAGUGGAGCAGGGACUUGAAUCCAGGAAUUGUGAUAUGGAAUGUGGGUGCACCAAGCUGCGUCCUGACCAUCAGGUCAAAUUCCUACCUCUGUGACUUAAUUGUUAAAGCCCAGUGCAUGCAGUGCUAGCAUGGGAAGGGCCAAUAGAUAUAAGCUAAUGUAGCCUCCAGACUGAAUAAUAAGAAAUUGAGGCUCAGAGAAAUUGAGCCUAAAAGAACCAAGAUGUCUCAUGAUUUCUUUUACAACGCGUCCUAGCUUCUGUGUUUGAUUAGGGACUUUUGUGAAUGCAUCCCAAGGAUGGCGGCUACUCUCAAGGCAGAAGGAAAUGAUGCAUGACAAUGAUGCAUGAGCGCUGUGCACCCUGGUGCUCUUCACUAUCAAGAGCACCAUCUCCACAGCUAAUAACACACUGAUUAUCCACUGCACAACUUCGGAAAGAAUUGCGCAAGUUGAUUCUUCAGCAAUUGCUUUCUAGACUUCAGUGAGCUUCACACAAUGCCUUGUUGUAAGUCUUGCCCCAUAGCUCUUGCUCCACACUUCAACCCUUGUUUGGGUUCCUUUGUUCAUAGACAUCUGAUGAAUCUUUUAUACUGGGAAUAGGACGGAUGCCAGAAUUAUUGCCUUGACUUGGUAGCUGGACAGAAGAAGGCUUUCUCCGAUGUGGCAAGUCUUCAGAAUUUUGAAUUUGCACAAAAGCAAAGGUUUUUAUUUUUUUUUCAAAAUGCCUUUAAAAAGAAUUUCAAGAGAUGAUUUGUGAAUUUAUUUCUAUAUUUCAGCGAUGCUCAACCAGGGGUAAAUUUGCUUCCCAAAUGGCACUUGGCAAUGUCUAGGAGCAUUUUGGUAGUCAUGACUGCUGUGCCGGCGCCACAGCUCACUAGGCUAAUCCUCCUCCUGUGGCACCCGCAUCCUGGGUUCUAGUCCCGGUUGGGGUGCCAGAUUCUGUCCCUGUUGCUCCUCUUCCAGUCCAGCUCUCUGCUGUGGCCCAGAAGGGCAGUGGAGGAUGGCCCAAGUGCUUGGGCCCUGCACCCGCAUGGGAGACCAGGAGAAGCACCUGGCUCCUGGCUUCGGAUUGGCGCAGAAGUGCCAGCUGCAGCGACCAUUUGGGGGGUGAACCAACAGAAAAGGAAGACCUUUCUCUCUGUCUCUCUCUCUCUCUCUCACUAACUCUGCUUGUCAAAAAAAAAAAAAAAAAAAAAAAAAAAAAGAAUGAAACACAGAGUUGACUCAAGGAGGUUUUGUUGGGGAGCAAAGAGAAUGGUCACAAUCUGGGCUACACACGCACUGGCUGGAGUGGCCCCUGGAGUGUUCAGCGAAAAAAGCAAGGAUGCAGCUUUCUUGAGGAAGGAGAAAACCUACACAAGCUGUUUUGAAAGGAAGCCCUUUGGCACUUGUCCUGUCCUUAGAGAGCUGCUGCAGUUACUGCCUAAAGUUGGCUUUGUUGUCACUGCAGGCGCGACAGCGCGUCCUGUCCCUGUGUUAGUAGCCAGCUGUCCUUUGUGCUGCUGGCUGCCCUUGGGUGGUUCAGGUACAACGCUGAGGUGUGGCAGACUUUCAUGUGAUAGCUCCUGUGAUGAGAGACAUCGUACGUGAGAGCUCUCCCUCCACCGCCUUCCCUGGGCUGCCUGGAGCCUAGACCUGGCAGCAGUGAUUCCAUUUUGAAUCUGACAGUUUUCACUCCGGAGUAGUGGUGGUGGUGGUGGGGGGGCUGCUACUACCGCCCUCUGGUGGAUGGAGGCCAGGGUGCCGCUAAACAUCCCUCAGGACGCAGGCCGGGGCUUUUCUUAACAAAGAGUUAUCUGGCUUCAGCAUCAUUGUUUCUGGGGUAGAUAAUUCUUUUAUGAUUCUUCUUAGAGUCUAGAGGUUUGUGUGAUUUGUGUUGGCCUGGUGACCCUAAAUUAUACGCCACGAUGUGGUUGAAAGCCAGCACAUGCCAAGCCCAUCUUCACAGUGGUGUUCAAACGACAGUGUCACAGGUCAGAGAGAGCUGGUGCUCCGCAAGCCCUCUGUCUCCUCCUGACUCUUCCCAACACCUGCCUUGAGAUCAGAAUUCUCACCUGCAGUUUAUAAACACCAAAAUUGCGCACACCAUGCAACUGUGAAAAACAGGACCUAAGAAAUAGUUACAAAGCAAAAGAAAAUGGUUAAAUCCUUAGCCCUUCGCUCAUGCCCCAUAAAUACACCAGAGUCGGCCCAUACUAUCACUAGCCCUUUGGUCAUUAAAGACAAUUAAACAAGAACAAGAAGGAAACAGUCUCCAUUGUCCUCCUUGUCUUGAGCCUAUAAAACUAUAGUGCAUUUGGGACAAAGUAUUUUGCAUUUUACGACCACUUUAGACUACUACACAAGAGAAACAUUGAACAUCUUUAUCUGAUUUAUUAACUUGUACGUUGUCCAGCUUUGGCUGAUGAUUGGAGCAUGUUUGCCCUUUCCCACAUAUUAGAGCAGAAAGGGAACAGAUGUAUCUGCCUCCUUGGUGUGUUCUGAAAUGCUCAUUUACAGCUGUUAGGUCGGUGCCAUCUUCCCAGAUCUGCCCCGUUCCUGUUUCCAUAGUGACGGGGCAGUCUGACAGCUUCCUUAAAAGGUGAGUCAGUAAGAUAGAAUUUCUUGCCCUUCUAUCCUGCUUUAUAUUUUGGUCUCGGUGGCUGAGGAUGAGAGCAAGCAGAGGGCUGAGAAGAUGCCACACACAUUGGAGGAAGUAUGUGUUUAACCCAGAAGACGCGCACGUGGGUUCCCUUUUGUGUUCUAUAGUUCGCCUCGAAGGUUAUUUUCUCAUCUGUGCUAUAGCAGCCUGCAUAGAACAUCCAGACAUUCAGCCCAAUUCAGGGCAAUCAACAUUCUCCGUAAGAGUUCUGAUAUCUAUCAAGUGCCAGCAUGGAAUGUUCUCUGGUAUUAUCUGAUAAAAGAAAAUCCUCAGAACUGAACACUCCCCCACCGUGGCAGAUGUUCCGCUUUUAGUAUCCCUGUUUUUUUGCAGAUGAGGAAAUAAGGCCCAGAAAAGCUGAUAAACACACCCAGUGUCAUCUGGGUACAGAGGACUGGUGGACCUGGAAUCCAGUUCUGUCGGAUGCCAGAACCCCACGCUGGUGUUCUGAAACCAUGAAGCUCUCCUACCUCAUUAAAUACCGAUUUCAGGCCAGACCAGGGGCCGGGCUGUAAAGCUGAAUGGCACGGUGCCUUCCUUCGAGGAACUCACUGCUGAGUGAGGGAGAUGGACACACAGUCAGAUAAGUAUUGUAGCCCGGAUGUAUUGCGUGGAUGGCAUCAGCGCACAGAGCAUCUGUCCUGGACCCAUGACUCCAUUGCAGAACCUUCUCAGUGGCACCAAAGCCAGGAAAAGCAUGCCCAACUUGGCCUCUGUGCUUCUUUACCGUGUUCCGAGGCCACAGAGAGGCAGAGACCAGGUAGCACGGUGGUCUGAUGCCUCCUCAGGCGGAGAGAAAGACAGCAGAUGCCAGCUUCGGGUGAGGUCACUGUUCUUAAGGAAGACUGAUCCUUGAGGAAGCAUGGAUUUCAUACAGCAUAUUCAAGUGAAGAAUCAUCUUUCCACGGAAACAUCUGCUUUGGACCUUCCUGCAGCUGUGAACCCUGUCCUCUGGUUUCCCAGGUUCAAAACUGUCGCUCCCCCUCUUCAUGGAGGAACGACACAGGACCCUGCGCUGUUCUUUUGUCUGCUCGGCCCUCCCCGGGUUUGCUGCUGGUUCUUCCCGGGUUGGCUGCUGGUCCUUCCACCUCCGUGGAAGGGCAGUUCCCCCUGCCACAUUCCCCACUUCCACGGGGAAGCGGCACACCGCCGGCCGGCUCUCUUGGGGGCUGCACAGGUGUUCCCCUUAGAUGUUCCCCUUAGAUGUUCCUGGUGCAUGCCGUCUCUCUCCUCCUUUAUAGUCCUCUUCCACCAAUCCCAACUCUGCUACCCACACGCCAAGUACGCUGCUCUCCUCCAAUCAGGAGCAGGUCCCACAGUUUAUUGGUUGAACUGGAGGCAGCUGUGUAGAAGCUGUUUCCCUUCUCAGCGCCAUAUUGUGGGAAAGCAGAUGCAUAGAAUAAGUCUUAAUUCCAGUAACUUAGUCUAGUCCGAGUUGCUCCCAGUUGCUCCCCACACAAAACCUCGCUGUCAUUUCUGACUCUGCCUCAUUGAUUGUCCCUCACAACCCAUAGUUGUCAGGUUACAGGGAGUCUAACUCUGCAAGGUUCUGUGGGUGGCAUGCUCUCGUCUGUUCCCCCCACCGACCCCUGCCUCAAUCAUGGGGCCGCCUUCCAGUCUUCUCUUUGCCCCUCUGUCUCUUGCUUGUAAUCUAUUUUAUGUGCUUCUAUUGGCAACCCUUUCUCUGAUCACAUUCCGAUCGUGUCCCCUACUUACUCAAACCCCAGCAGGCGAUCUCGGUUACCCACCCUGGGUUACGAGCGCGUGCGUUUGGGCCCUUCCACUGACACUGAGCCAGCGAAUUCCUCAUUCCUCAAACACAUCCUGCAGAUUUUCACUGUCUUGCCUCACGCAGACCCCCAGACUCCCAUCUCUGCCGUUGACAUUCUCUCUGUUCCUCCAGCUGCACCUCCGAGAGAGCCUCACUCACAAAGCCCUUGUGUUCCCAUCAGCACCAUCCCCAGGCUCUACAGUUUUCUCACUAUCCUUGUCCUGUCCUUCCCUGUGUUACUGGUGUGAUCAUGCCUACCUGAUGGUCUUGUAACUUGUCAGUUCACUGUAGAGCCUUGUGACUGUGGAUCUGCUACAAGCAGCCACCAUGCCUUACUUCCCUCUGCCUGUUCUCCUCCCUAGCACCCAGGACUAGGCCUAGAGGACAGCAGGGACUCAUGGCUAUUUGCUGAGUCAGUCACAGCAAUGCUGGUGGGUUACCGGGUCCAGAAGAGACAACAGAUCUAUGGAAAGGACAGUGUCUGUGUAUCUGGUGCAUCUUCCUUGUGUCACUAACCACGUAGCACCUAUUUGAUAAAUCAACCUUUUGACAUCAUCA